Molecule: ribosomal RNA, 403 nt
Filed under: uncultured bacterium
Lineage: Bacteria
Description: bacterial SSU rRNA
Rfam family: Bacterial small subunit ribosomal RNA
Source: RNAcentral
UAGGGAAUAUUGCAAAUGGGCGAAAGCCUGAUGUAGCAACGCCGCGUGUGCGAUGAAGGUCUUCGGAUUGUAAAGCACUUUUUGGAGGGAUGAGGAAGGACAGUACCUCCAGAAUAAGCCUCGGCUAACUACGUGCCAGCAGCCGCGGUAACACGUAGGAGGCAAGCGUUAUUCGGAUUUACUGGGCGUAAAGCGCGUGCAGGCGGUUUGGAAAGUUGGAUGUGAAAGCUCCUGGCUCAACUGGGAGAGGUCGUUCAAAACUUCCAGACUUGAGAGGGGUAGAGGGAGGUGGAAUGCCGGGUGUAGGGGUGGAAUGCGCAGAUAUCUGGAGGAACACCGGUGGCGAAGGCGGCCUCCUGGAGCAUUCCUGACACUCAGACGCGAAAGCUAGGGUAGCAAACGG